RNAcentral lists this ribosomal RNA (465 nucleotides) under Vreelandella stevensii. RNAcentral's name for it is "partial 16S ribosomal RNA". It matches the Rfam family "Bacterial small subunit ribosomal RNA", at positions 338 to 795 of the family's 1533-position model. Lineage: Bacteria; Pseudomonadati; Pseudomonadota; Gammaproteobacteria; Oceanospirillales; Halomonadaceae. The record is from RNAcentral.
CCUACGGGAGGCAGCAGUGGGGAAUAUUGGACAAUGGGGGGAACCCUGAUCCAGCCAUGCCGCGUGUGUGAAGAAGGCCCUCGGGUUGUAAAGCACUUUCAGUGAGGAAGAACGCCUGGUGGUUAAUACCCAUCAGGAAAGACAUCACUCACAGAAGAAGCACCGGCUAACUCCGUGCCAGCAGCCGCGGUAAUACGGAGGGUGCGAGCGUUAAUCGGAAUUACUGGGCGUAAAGCGCGCGUAGGUGGCUUGAUAAGCCGGUUGUGAAAGCCCCGGGCUCAACCUGGGAACGGCAUCCGGAACUGUCAAGCUAGAGUGCAGGAGAGGAAGGUAGAAUUCCCGGUGUAGCGGUGAAAUGCGUAGAGAUCGGGAGGAAUACCAGUGGCGAAGGCGGCCUUCUGGACUGACACUGACACUGAGGUGCGGAAGCGUGGGUAGCAAACAGGAUUAGAUACCCCAGUAGUC